ACGGGCUGUAAAACAGCCGCCUUUGUGAAUCUUGUCUCUGUGAGUCUUCGUUCAAGUCCCUGAAGCGCUGUGAGCCGCGGUGGAGGCCACUGGUGGGCUGUGCGGGGCCAUCUUCGCUGGACUCCGGGACUUCCACAAAGUCGGCAGCGAACACCCGUAGACCCGGCUGGGUCAUUCCUUUAAGGUGGUUAUCAGAUCAUAGACAUCGGUUGAGCCACUAUCACGGACCAGGGUGAGUGGUGCGGUUUAUUUAUUUGUUUUUUUUAUUUUUACUCCACUGUCUAUGCUGCUCUAUCAGUGAAGUUCAGAUAAAAAGAGGCAGAUUUAAAACAUAGCAUGAGCAGACUAGGGGGUAUGAUACAGUGAAGACUUUCCCAGUGGACAGGGAUCAUGAAUCUCAGAAGAGCUUUGUUGUGGGGGCUGGUGAAAUUGCCUGUCUUCGGCCCAUGCACGCUUAGGAGAAAGUGUCGUCAUCCUUGUACAGCACUUGCAGAAAAGAGCUACAAAGGCCUUAAGGAGUGGUCUUCUGAGGAUAACCCCAAAAUUAAAAUGUUAGAUUAAUGGUAACAUAUCUAUUGUGCCAUAUUCUUUAGGAAAGGAGUUCAGCUUAAAUUAAAGGGAAGCCCUUCCACUUGAAAA
Sus scrofa (pig) is the source of this 639-nucleotide non-coding RNA. The record is from RefSeq and is a predicted model, not a curated record. Lineage: Eukaryota; Metazoa; Chordata; Mammalia; Artiodactyla; Suidae.